Molecule: ribosomal RNA, 254 nt
Filed under: uncultured bacterium
Lineage: Bacteria
Description: partial 16S ribosomal RNA
Rfam family: Bacterial small subunit ribosomal RNA
Source: RNAcentral
CACGUAGGGGGCGAGCGUUGUCCGGAUUUAUUGGGCGUAAAGAGCUCGUAGGCGGUUUCGUAAGUCGGAUGUGAAAACUCCAGGCUCAACUUGGAGACGCCAUUCGAUACUGCGAUGACUUGAGUCCGGUAGGGGAGUGUGGAAUUCCUGGUGUAGCGGUGAAAUGCGCAGAUAUCAGGAGGAACACCAGUGGCGAAGGCGGCUACCUGGACGGGUACUGACGCUGCAGCGCGAAAGCUAGGGGAGCAAACAGG